RNAcentral lists this unclassified non-coding RNA (391 nucleotides) under soil metagenome. Its description in RNAcentral is "partial contains 5.8S ribosomal RNA, internal transcribed spacer 2, and large subunit ribosomal RNA". The stretch from base 1 to 122 matches the Rfam family "5.8S ribosomal RNA", at positions 35 to 154 of the family's 154-position model. The record is from RNAcentral.
GAUGAAGAACGCAGCGAAAUGCGAUACUUGGUGUGAAUUGCAGAAUCCCGUGAACCAUCGAGUCUUUGAACGCAAGUUGCGCCCGAAGCCACUAGGCCGAGGGCACGCCUGCCUGGGCGUCACACGCCAUUGCCCCCCCAUCUACUCCUUCGGGAUUGCGGGGGGCGGAUGAUGGCCUCUCGUGCGCCUCGUCGCGCGGUUGGCCUAAAUGCCAAGUCCUCGGCGACGCACGCCACGACAAUCGGUGGUUGCGAAACCUCGGUUGCCUGUCGUGUGCGGUCGUCGCGCAUCGAGGGCUCGAAAAAAUUGCCGGGCUUCGGCUCGACUUUCAACGCGACCCCAGGUCAGGCGGGGUUACCCGCUGAAUUUAAGCAUAUCAAUAAGCGGAGGA